GGGUCAGUAGGUUGGUCGUGCCACCGGUACGUACUGGUCUCACUGAUUCCUCCUUCCUGAAGAACCGUAAUGCCAUUAAUUUGGUGUUGCGGGGAAACAGGACUGUUACUUUGAAAAAAUUAGAGUGUUUAAAGCAAGCUAACGCUUGAAUACAUUAGCAUGGAAUAAUAAAUAGGACGAUCGAUCCUAUUUUGUUGGUUUCUAGGAUUGACGUA
Molecule: ribosomal RNA, 215 nt
Filed under: Glomeromycotina sp.
Lineage: Eukaryota; Fungi; Glomeromycota
Description: partial small subunit ribosomal RNA
Rfam family: Eukaryotic small subunit ribosomal RNA (bases 40-215)
Source: RNAcentral